CCGGCGCGCGCGCGCGGGGCGUGACGUGGCGGCGGCGGCGGCGGGAUGCUGCGGGCGCUGUCGCUGUCGCUGCUGGUGGCGGCGGCGCUGGCGGCGGGGGGGCGGCCCGGGACCCCCCCGGCUCCGCGGGGCCGAGCUGCGGGACCUGGCCCGGGGCAAGGUGGAGGUGAGCGCGGGGCGGGCGGGGGGUGCGGGGACACCGGGGACGGCGCCGGGGAUGACGGGCUGUCUGCUCCCGCAGACCUGCGGCGGGUGACGGCUGAACCGCCUGAAAGAGGUGAAGGCCUUCGUCAGGCAGGACAUCCCCCUCUAGUACCCGCCGGCCCCGCUCGGCGGGUAGUGCUCGGUACCGGGGUGGGCGGCGGGGGACGGGGUGUGGGACGGGGAGGGACGGGGCGGGACGAGGGUAGAGGAUGGGACG
This 421-nucleotide long non-coding RNA is filed under the name Aquila chrysaetos chrysaetos. RNAcentral's name for it is "lncRNA (ENSACCG00020003370.1)". Lineage: Eukaryota; Metazoa; Chordata; Aves; Accipitriformes; Accipitridae. The record is from RNAcentral.